GUGUGAAAGCUACUUGGCAUGAAUGCCUGGGCCGUACCAAGUGUCACCGCAGCAAGAGGGGGAGACAGAAGAAAAACAGAUCAGACCAGAGCAGACAAUAGGCCCCUAAAGUGUUCCCCCUAAGUUGCUUUGAUGUUGUCCUGGUGUCUUGAUACCAGGAGGCCAGGGAUUGCUGGAAAAGGGUCUUUUUUGUCUUCGUUCACUUCCCUCCAGUUUCUGCAAUGAUUCUCCAGAAUCUCUGCUCAUGAAAAAGUGAAGGGGAGGUACCCCCAGUCCUGAUCACCCAGACCAGACUCGCAGGAAGAGAGCGGCAUGGCCGGCCAGAAGGGUGAGCGAGAGGACUGCCCCGAGACAUCCACAAACUUUUCCAGUUUCGGGGAAUUCUCUGCUCCGAGAUACUAUAAAGGAGUUGUUGGGUGCUCCGGGCCUCAGUUUACCCAAUCUGUGAAAGCGGGAGAGCCGACUGGGGAUGCCGCACGUCUCCCAGGGGUGAAGCCAAACAGAGCAGCCCACUCCAUGUAACUGUGUGGCGAAAUCUUCUGGCUGGCAAUGCUGUGGAAUCACAAAGUAGAAGUGUGACCAUUAUUCCUGAUUAUCGCCGUCAUGACGAUAAAACCGUCAUUAAAGACACCGGGAGACAAACAGACCGGCGAGCACAGAUCAAGUGUCUGACCAUUUCUAAUGAAACAAAAACCCCCUUUCCACCUGUUGGCUUCUGUCCUUUUCUCUUGUGUCUUUUCCUUAGAUUUAUUGGCCGAUUUGUAGAGAGAAUGGAGUGGGAGGGGUUGGGUUUCCCUUUCCUCCUCCUUCAUCAUACAUAUAUAUGUAUUUAAAGGUCAAUAUAAGAUUCUCACCGGGAAAACGCGCCUCCUGUUAAAGGCCUUUUAUUCAAGACCUUGUGUUUUCUGGCGCUGGCAGGGUGUGCGUGCACAUUUGUAAACUACCUUGGAGGUUAAAGAUUUUUAUUGUGGCUUUUGGAGAUUAAAUGAGAUUUAUUUACAAUUGCCAUUUAUCAGAGAGUAAAUAUCAGUGUGGAGGGGUAAGAAUGUGACGGCUGUUUAUUCUCUGGCGGUUUUGUGGAUAAAACCUUUUGCUUUUUUAAAGUGGCGUCUCAAGAACCGGGAGGAAGGGAGGCUGAAGUCAGUAUCUAAUAUCAAUCUUACACAUGGUUGUUUGGGAGAGGAAAAAAUGUCUGCUUAUGGUUUUGAAUUGUGAAUUUCUUCUGCCUUUACAUGGUUCUAGCCCUCUUGAAAUUCCCUAUGGGUUCUGAUUGCCUGGUUUUAGGUUCUCUGUGAC
This is a long non-coding RNA of Rattus norvegicus (Norway rat), 1296 nucleotides long. The record is from Ensembl. NCBI's taxonomy places the organism in Eukaryota, Metazoa, Chordata, Mammalia, Rodentia, Muridae.